This 375-nucleotide ribosomal RNA is filed under the name uncultured bacterium. RNAcentral's name for it is "partial 16S ribosomal RNA". It matches the Rfam family "Bacterial small subunit ribosomal RNA", at positions 338 to 710 of the family's 1533-position model. The record is from RNAcentral.
CCUACGGGUUGCAGCAGUGAGGAAUAUUGGUCAAUGGGCGCAAGCCUGAACCAGCCACGUAGCGUGAAGGAUGACUGCCCUCCGGGUUGUAAACUUCGUUUAUAAAGGAAUACAGUGAGGCAGGUGUGCCUUAUUGAAUGAACUCUAUCAAUAAGGAUAGGCUCACUCCGUGCCAGCAGCCGCGGUAAUACGGCGGAUCCGAGCGUCAUCCGGAGUGCUUGGGUGUAAAGGGAGCGUAGAUGGGUUGUUAAGUCAGUUGUGAACGUCUGUGGCUCAACCGUAAAAUUGCAGUUGAUACUGGCAGACUUGAGUGCAGGAGAGGUAAGCGGAAUUCGUGGUGUAGCGGUGAAAUGCGUAGAUAUCACGAAGAACACC